RNAcentral lists this ribosomal RNA (228 nucleotides) under uncultured archaeon. Its description in RNAcentral is "partial 16S ribosomal RNA". It matches the Rfam family "Archaeal small subunit ribosomal RNA", at positions 23 to 246 of the family's 1478-position model. The record is from RNAcentral.
GCCACUGCUAUUGGGGUUCGGCUAAGCCAUGCGAGUGGAGGGCGUCCCGCAAGGGAUGGCCCCGCAGACGGCUCAGUAACACGUCGUCAACCCACCUUAGGGUGGGGGACAACCUCGGGAAACUGAGAAUAAUCCCCCAUAGGCGGGGGAGGCUAGAAUGCGCCCCCGCUGAAAGCUCAGGCGCCCUAGGACGGGACGGCGGCCUAUCAGGUAGUUGGUGGUGUGACG